RNAcentral lists this ribosomal RNA (301 nucleotides) under uncultured bacterium. Its description in RNAcentral is "partial 16S ribosomal RNA". It matches the Rfam family "Bacterial small subunit ribosomal RNA", at positions 509 to 807 of the family's 1533-position model. The record is from RNAcentral.
CAGUCGCCGCGGUAAUACGUAGGUGGCAGGCGUUGUCCGGAAUUAUUGGGCGUAAAGGGCUCGCAGGCGGUUUCUUAAGUCUGAUGUGAAAGCCCCCGGCUCAACCGGGGAGGGUCAUUGGAAACUGGGAAACUUGAGUGCAGAAGAGGAGAGUGGAAUUCCACGUGUAGCGGUGAAAUGCGUAGAGAUGUGGAGGAACACCAGUGGCGAAGGCGACUCUCUGGUCUGUAACUGACGCUGAGGAGCGAAAGCGUGGGGAGCGAACAGGAUUAGAUACCCGUGUAGUCCCUGUCUCUUAUAC